CGGUGGAUGAUGUGGAUUAAUUCGAUGCAACGCGAAGAACCUUACCUACCCUUGACAUGUCCGGAACUUGCCAGAGAUGGCUUGGUGCCGAAAGGGAAUCGGAACACAGGUGCUGCAUGGCUGUCGUCAGCUCGUGUCGUGAGAUGUUGGGUUAAGUCCCGCAACGAGCGCAACCCUUAUCAUUAGUUGCUACGCAAGGGCACUCUAAUGAGACUGCCGGUGACAAACCGGAGGAAGGUGGGGAUGACGUCAAGUCCUCAUGGCCCUUAUGGGUAGGGCUUCACACGUCAUACAAUGGUCGGUACAGAGGGUUGCCAAGCCGCGAGGCGGAGCCAAUCCCACAAAGCCGAUCGUAGUCCGGAUUGUUCUCUGCAACUCGAGAGCAUGAAGUCGGAAUCGCUAGUAAUCGUGGAUCAGCAUGCCACGGUGAAUACGUUCCCGGGCCUU
RNAcentral lists this ribosomal RNA (447 nucleotides) under uncultured Thiobacillus sp. Its description in RNAcentral is "bacterial SSU rRNA". It matches the Rfam family "Bacterial small subunit ribosomal RNA", at positions 930 to 1382 of the family's 1533-position model. Lineage: Bacteria; Pseudomonadati; Pseudomonadota; Betaproteobacteria; Nitrosomonadales; Thiobacillaceae. The record is from RNAcentral.